GGAGUUACUCCACGUAUUGCUUGACGUAAAACAGAUAGUGGAUUUGUUUGUCUCAAGACCUACGGGCCAAGGGACAGUCUCAGGUAGACAAUUUCCAUUGGGCAUAGGCCUUCCAAAAGGUAACAAAGGCGUGCAAAGGUUUCCUCGAGCCGGACGGAGAUUGGCCCUCGAGUGUAAAGGCAAAAGGGAGCUUGACUGCAAGACCCACCCGUCGAGCAAGGACGAAAGUCGGCCUUAGUGAUCCGACAGUGCCGAGUGGAAGGGUUGUCGCUCAAUAGAUAAAAGUUACUCUAGGGACAACAGGCUGAUCUUCUCCAAGAGCUCACAUCGACGGGAAGGUUUGGCACCUCGAUGUCGGCUCUUCGCCACCUGGGGCUAUAGUAUGUUCCAAGUGUUGAGCUGUUCGCCCAUUAAAGCGGUACGUUCUACUAAAAAAAAUGAACAAAUUAGUUCUU
RNAcentral lists this non-coding RNA (455 nucleotides) under Gossypium hirsutum (cotton). RNAcentral's name for it is "Bacterial large subunit ribosomal RNA". It matches the Rfam family "Bacterial large subunit ribosomal RNA", at positions 2166 to 2639 of the family's 2925-position model. The record is from Rfam by way of RNAcentral. Lineage: Eukaryota; Viridiplantae; Streptophyta; Magnoliopsida; Malvales; Malvaceae.